ACUUAACAAUAUAACCUUCCUUAAAUCUUUCUAUUGGUCUGGGUUGGUUUGCUUGUGAGAUUUGUCAGUUCCAUAUCUCUUUUACUUAUGAGACAAAUUGGCGCAUUGCGUUUAACUAUCCAGCAGCAUUAGCUACUUCAACAGAUGUUUUUAUCAGGAAUUAUGAGCUAGUAGCCUCUGUAAUGAGAGAAGGUUUCAGAUCACAGAUACAUAUGCACACCCACCCAAACAAAGAAGAGGCAGGAAACAAUUACUCUGUGGUACUCGUACAGGAUUGAGCCUGAUUCUUCAAACAAUGCAACUUACAUCAGUUUCCCUUCAUGUCUGUCAAUCUGCCAUCUUGCGACAUUAUUUCAGGAGUCAGGACCUUUCUACUCCCUCUGUGAUAUCAAAAAGCAAAGCCUGCCAAAACUGCAGCCGCGUUGGGUUUCAAUGGCAGCCC
Long non-coding RNA from Xenopus laevis (African clawed frog), 442 nucleotides. RefSeq lists it as uncharacterized. The transcript is spliced from 4 exons. NCBI's taxonomy places the organism in Eukaryota, Metazoa, Chordata, Amphibia, Anura, Pipidae. The record is from RefSeq and is a predicted model, not a curated record.